UACAGAGGUCCCAAGCGUUGUUCGGAUUCACUGGGCGUAAAGGGUGCGUAGGUGGCAGGGUAAGUUUGAUGUGAAAUCUCUGAGCUUAACUCAGAAACUGCAUUGAAUACUAUCUUGCUCGAGGGUUGGAGGGGGGACUGGAAUUUACGGUGUAGCAGUGAAAUGCGCAGAUAUCGGGAGGAACACCGGUGGCGAAGGCGGUUCUCUGGGCCUUACCUGACGCUGAGGAGCGAAGGCGUGGGGAGCGAACAGG
This 253-nucleotide ribosomal RNA is filed under the name uncultured bacterium. RNAcentral describes it as "partial 16S ribosomal RNA". It matches the Rfam family "Bacterial small subunit ribosomal RNA", at positions 524 to 776 of the family's 1533-position model. The record is from RNAcentral.